RNAcentral lists this ribosomal RNA (411 nucleotides) under Ixodes angustus. RNAcentral describes it as "partial large subunit ribosomal RNA". Lineage: Eukaryota; Metazoa; Arthropoda; Arachnida; Ixodida; Ixodidae. The record is from RNAcentral.
UAUUUUGACUAUACGAAGGUAUUGAAAUAAGGCUUUAAAUGAGUGCUAAGAGAAUGAUUAAACGAUUGGAAGCUUUCUUUAAUUAAUAAAUUGAAUUUAAUUUUUUUGUGAAGAAGCAAAAAUUUGAAUUAGGGACAAGAAGACCCUAUGAAUUUUAUAUUAAAUUCAUAUAAGAUAUAUUUUUAAGAAUUUAAUUUGGUUGGGGCGACAGAAAAAGAAUAUAUAUCUUUUUGUGGAAAGUAGUUAAUUUGUUCCGUUAUUAGCGAUUAAAUGAGAAAAAUACUCUAGGGAUAACAGCGUAAUAAUUUUGGAUAGUUCAUAUAGAUAAAAUAGUUUGCGACCUCGAUGUUGGAUUAGGAUUCUUUUUUAGUGAAGAAGUUAAAGAAAAGAAGUUUGUUCAACUUUUAAAUU